This 2139-nucleotide small RNA is filed under the name Rattus norvegicus (Norway rat). RNAcentral's name for it is "uncharacterized LOC102555103". The record is from RNAcentral. Lineage: Eukaryota; Metazoa; Chordata; Mammalia; Rodentia; Muridae.
UAGAUGAAUGCCAUUUUAGUGGUUCUGGUAUUUAUGCUUUUUAACUUCUUAAAAAUAGCAUGGCUUCUUUUUAAAAAAAUUUAUUUUUUUACUGAGGUGGCCUUCUCUGGAUCACCCCCAUCCUUGGCUUCCUGCCACACCCCAAGGCCCACACCUCUUUUCACUACGCAAAGGUCAGCAUGAGUUUGUUUGGGCAUUGUCUGUGCUGUAGUCUCUUGGCUGGCUGUGUUGUUCUGCCUACAGGGUUAUCUCGAGACUCUGAGAGCAGGUCUAACCAAAGAGGAUUCCACAGAACACUAGGCCAGCCUCAUGACUCAAACCUCAGAUCUGCCACCAACCAAGUCCUGACUCUGUGUGGGCUACCUAAUUUAGUUUAGGAUUCCUCCUCUGUUACAAAGGAGCCCACAAUUCCUACCUGCUGUGUUGUCAUGGAAACUUCUCUCCUUAUUGCCUGUCAGUCACAGAGCAGGGGAGCAGGAGUCCUUCACUAGCCUUGUCUCCUCUUACUCCCAUGACCGGACUGAGAAACACCCAGAGACACCACAACUUCUGUGAUCAUGGAAGAGAAGGAUGGAGCCUACCAUCUCUGCCAUUCACACCCACCACCAAGACCCUUCAGUGACAUCCUGCCUCAGAAGGGGCUUUCAGGUUUUUCAUCUGGCUCUGAAAUAGAACUGGGGUGCACAACGAGGAAGAACAUGGCUGGUUAUAGUUCCUGGGCAUUCAGAGACAGAGGCUUUGUCAAGAAGGAAGAAGUGUCUCCUUAAUAUUGUAGCAAGGCUUUACAGACUACAAAUAAUUAUGGCAAUAUAAAUAGCCAACACAAAGUGGGUACUUACAAUACACUGGACUAGAUGCUUUACUAAGUGCUGUGGAUGCAGUUUUUAAUUCAGUCUUUGGGCAUCUUUCCUCUUCUUUUCAUAGACUAGAAAUCCGAAGAUUAAAGGAGCCCGGUGGCUUGUAUGAUAUCAUAUACAAAAUGUCUGCAAUUGAACUAAACCCAGAACCUUACUUUCUAUGUUGGGGUGUCUCGUAAAUGUAUAGAAAUGGUCUAUAUUUCAUAGUGUUUUUUCUAUUUCAUUUUAUUAAAUUGUAAUCUUUUAAUAUGAAACUAGAUUGCAUUUUGAGUUUGUUCUCCCCUCAUAGACGAUCCUUCCGGUGCCAUCAUUGUAAUGAGUUGUUCCAGGGUACAUUUUUUAACAUAUUGAGUUCCUAGUUUUGUUAAUAUUCAUUUCAUUUCUUUCUUUCUCUGCACCGCUAUUUCUCACACACUUCUUCUGUUGCAUCAGGUCCACAUGGAGGCCACUGUGGUCACGUGCAUUGGUUGAUUGUGCUUGCCUUUCUCCCUGAAGCCCAUCUUUCCCAGGAGCUGCAAACAGGAUAGGGCCUGGCUGGAAAUUAAGCAGAUUCCAUGAGCAACCAAAUCUAAUGAGUCCUACAGAUUGAGGCAUUAGCGGCCACGUCUUGGAUUGUAGCGCAUGGCUCAUUGCGGACUGUCAUUUGGGCACAUCAUCCCACAGUGGCCCUGUGUGGACGGUAUGGAGGAAGACUGAGAUCCAGAGGCUGAGUAGCUCCCUCGAGGCUACCUAUAAGCAGACGCCCACCUGAAACUUGAACUCAGACCUCUGGAUUGAGUCUGGCACUUUACCCGACUCAUCAGUCCUUUCCUGAUGCUUUUUCUUCCAGCCAAGAGUAAAGAUGGAGCUAAGACAAUUAGAAGGCCCAGAUGCUGCAGCGGCAAAUUUCUUCUGGAAACUACAGAAUCCUGCCUGAAUUCAAAUCCCGUGAUCUCUCUUUCUCUUCCACAUGCCACCAGGAGAUGUCCCUAAGCAAGACAUCUACAUUCGCACAGACCUUAGGGACUGGACCUUCAUUAGUCACCACCUAAAACGCACUCGUGAAUCUGCCACUAGUCCAUUUGAGAAUAUGAUGAAUGGCAUUGUUUUAGUGAAAUAGCCACCAGAUAUGAGUGGUCCCUCUUCUCAGGCUUAGUCCUGAUGAUGGAGUGCUAAUGUCAUCAGUGCUUUGGUCAUAACUGCUUCAGUGGUCUCCAGUGCCAAAGAUGGGAGCUUCACUUGCCUCUGCCCUGGGUCAGGGUUCUGCCUGGGUUCAAAGUCUGGAUUAGUGAUUUCCUGGUGU